GUCGGACGGCUGGUCGCCAUUGUACAUUUUUCCUAGAAUUUGGAAAUUCCUUAGCUAGUUUAUUUAUUUAGGUUAUCUCUCUUCUAAUUGUGCUGCUGAGUAUUGUUAAAUAUUAGUUGUAGCCAUUUCGAUUUCACAAAACAUUUAUCCCUCUCAAACAGUAUCGAUAUUUGUUCUUGUCCAGCCCAGAUUUUGAUUCAUUGCUCAAAGUGACUUCACAUAGAAAUUUUCCAAAAAUAUUUUUGUUCUGUUUUCAUUGUUAUUCAGAAUAGUCAAUCAACCAAAAAGUUAUUUGUGUUAAUCUGUUCUUUGAACAGUUCUAUUCUAUUCAGAUUCUUUGACUUCAGAAGUUGCAGACGGUGAGGUGUUGAGAUUUCUCAGAUCUGCCAGAUUGACCAGGACUUGUGUUUAUCACCAAAUUAUUUCAUGUUAUGGCGCGAAUGGGUCCGUUAGUGACGAAAUUUCUGCCAUUUCUUCUAAAGACACUGAGCGGAAAGGUUUCUCAUUCUUUAUUAUUAUGGAUAUGUGGAUUACAUUUGCUAUUUUCAAGUUGGAAAACUUGACAACUACAAAUUCCUUUGUAAGAUUUAUCAAGCCAGGUGAAGUCUGCGCUUCUUUGUUGCAGUCUAAUGUGCACAUGGAUUGGUUGCAGUCAUCCAGUGAAAGGUGUGAUUAAAUUGAGCUGUUGCAUGCAGUCUUUGGUGCUGAUGUUGUCCUGGAGUGUGGGAGAGUUCCAUGCAUGCUUCAAGUCUUCUGGGAUCAGCCAUAUCUGAGUUGACGCUGGAUCAUGCUGCAUUGUGGUUGCCGAAAUGUUGGACAUCUAGUAGAACUGCAAGAAGGCUCCUUGAAAUGGUUUAUGUUUACGUAGCAGUGAUGUUGCUGUCCAAAUAUGGCAUGUUGUUGCAGCCUAUA
Long non-coding RNA from Daphnia pulex (common water flea), 912 nucleotides. RefSeq lists it as uncharacterized. The transcript has 4 exons. The record is from RefSeq and is a predicted model, not a curated record. NCBI's taxonomy places the organism in Eukaryota, Metazoa, Arthropoda, Branchiopoda, Diplostraca, Daphniidae.